CGGGUGAGUAACACGUGGAUAACCUACCUAUAAGACUGGGAUAACUUCGGGAAACCGGAGCUAAUACCGGAUAAUAUUUUGAACCGCAUGGUUCAAAAGUGAAAGACGGUCUUGCUGUCACUUAUAGAUGGAUCCGCGCUGCAUUAGCUAGUUGGUAAGGUAACGGCUUACCAAGGCAACGAUGCAUAGCCGACCUGAGAGGGUGAUCGGCCACACUGGAACUGAGACACGGCCAG
RNAcentral lists this ribosomal RNA (236 nucleotides) under uncultured Staphylococcus sp. RNAcentral describes it as "partial 16S ribosomal RNA". It matches the Rfam family "Bacterial small subunit ribosomal RNA", at positions 103 to 334 of the family's 1533-position model. Lineage: Bacteria; Bacillati; Bacillota; Bacilli; Caryophanales; Staphylococcaceae. The record is from RNAcentral.